CCUACGGGAGGCAGCAGUGAGGAAUAUUGGUCAAUGGACGCAAGCCUGAACCAGCCAAGUAGCGUGAAGGAUGACUGCCCUACGGGUUGUAAACUGCUUUUAUAAAGGAAUAAAGUGAGGCACGUGUGUCUUGUUGUAUGUACUUUAUGAAUAAGGAUCGGCUAACUCCGUGCCAGCAGCCGCGGUAAUACGGAGGAUCCGAGCGUUAUCCGGAUUUAUUGGGUUUAAAGGGUGCGUAGGUGGUUUGUUAAGACAGUGGUGAAAGUUUGGGGUUUAACCCUAAAACUGCAAUUGAUACUGGCAGCCUUGAGUAUAGUUGCGGUAGGCGGAAUGUGUGGUGUAGCGGUGAAAUGCUUAGAGAUCACGCAGAACUCCGAUUGCGAAGGCAGCUUACUAAUCUGCCUCUGACAUUGAUGCACGAAAGUGUGGGUAGCAAACAGGAUUAGAUACCCUUGUAGUC
This 460-nucleotide ribosomal RNA is filed under the name uncultured bacterium. RNAcentral's name for it is "partial 16S ribosomal RNA". It matches the Rfam family "Bacterial small subunit ribosomal RNA", at positions 338 to 795 of the family's 1533-position model. The record is from RNAcentral.